This 912-nucleotide small RNA is filed under the name Pongo abelii (Sumatran orangutan). RNAcentral's name for it is "processed transcript". Lineage: Eukaryota; Metazoa; Chordata; Mammalia; Primates; Hominidae. The record is from RNAcentral.
UGCGCGCCCGUCCCUCGGAGCCGCCGCCUUCAGUCACCGCCACCGCGCGCCAGAGAGAAGCAGCCUCCGGCCCCGGCGGCCCCUGUCUCCCGACCCCGGAAGGCGAAGCAGGCUGCCCGGGGACCCCGCGCGUCGGCGCUUGAAGCCGAGACCAGCCUGCCCGGGCCUGGGCAGGGGGAGCAGGGCCUUGGACCCCGCGGCGCCUCUCGGCCUCGGAGCAGCGAGCGCAGCGCCGCCUCUGAAGAACCAAUCCAUUCAGGAUGGGAAACCACGCAGGCAAACGAGAAUUAAAUGCCGAGAAGGCCAGUACGAACAUCUCCCAGAGCAGCAAAGUCCUGCGGAAAAGAGUGUCAGUGGCAUCUUUUGUUAUGAGAGGAGAUGGAAUCCUCCUGGGUGACUGAUAGCUGAGAGGGAGGGAGACAAUCAGGAGAGCCAAGAAGAGAGAUGGGUUCCAGGAGGAGAAAGUUGUCCACAACAGGAAGAGCUGCCACAGGGCUCCCCUCUGCCCGGCCCCUGCAGACCCCAUCUUCAGAGAAUGGUGAAACUAACAGAGGAGAAUCUGAAAAAAAGAGAAACCUGGAUGAACUUUCACGGACAACCUCAGAGGACAAUGAAGUGUUUGGAGAGGCAGAUGCGAACCAGAACAAUGGGACCUCCUCUCAGGACACAGCGGUGACUGACUCCAAGCGCACAGCGGACCCAAAGAAUGCCUGGCAGGAUGCCCACCCAGCUGACCCAGGGAGCCGCCCCCACUUGAUCCGCCUCUUUUCCCGAGAUGCCCCGGGGAGGGAGGACAACACCUUCAAAGACAGGCCCUCUGAGUCCGACGAGCUCCAGACCAUCCAAGAAGACAGUGCAGCCACCUCUGAGAGCCUGGAUGUGAUGGCGUCACAGAAGAGACCCUCCCAGAGG